CCAGACUCCUACGGGAGGCAGCAGUGGGGAAUAUUGGGCAAUGGGCGCAAGCCUGACCCAGCAACGCCGCGUGAAGGAAGAAGGCCUUCGGGUUGUAAACUUCUUUUCUCAGGGACGAAGAAAGUGACGGUACCUGAGGAAUAAGCCGCGGCUAACUACGUGCCAGCAGCCGCGGUAAUACGUAGGUGGCAAGCGUUAUCCGGAUUUAUUGGGUGUAAAGGGAGCGUAGACGGCCAUGCAAGCCUGGAGUGAAAGCCCGGGGCCCAACCCCGGGACUGCUCUGGGAACUGUGCGGCUGGAGUGCGGGAGGGGCAGGCGGAAUUCCUGGUGUAGUGGUGAAAUGCGUAGAUAUCAGGAGGAACACCGGCGGCGAAGGCGGCCUGCUGGACCGCGACUGACGUUGAGGCUCGAAAGCGUGGGGAGCAAACAGGAUUAGAUACCCCGGUAC
RNAcentral lists this ribosomal RNA (448 nucleotides) under uncultured bacterium. Its description in RNAcentral is "bacterial SSU rRNA". It matches the Rfam family "Bacterial small subunit ribosomal RNA", at positions 331 to 793 of the family's 1533-position model. The record is from RNAcentral.